Molecule: ribosomal RNA, 406 nt
Filed under: uncultured bacterium
Lineage: Bacteria
Description: partial 16S ribosomal RNA
Rfam family: Bacterial small subunit ribosomal RNA
Source: RNAcentral
AUUGAACGCUGGCGGGAUGCCUUACACAUGCAAGUCGAACGAGUGGCGGACGGGUGAGUAAUGUCUCGGAAACUGCCCAAUGGAGGGGGAUAACUACUGGAAAGGGUAGCUAAUACCGCAUACUAUUGGAUCGGCCGAGAUGGGAUUAGCUUGUUGGUGGGGUAACGGCUCACCAAGGCGACGAUCCGUAGCUGGUCUGAGAGGACGACCAGCCACACUGGAACUGAGACACGGCCCAGACUCCUACGGGAGGCAGCAGUGGGGAAUUUUGCACAAUGGGCGCAAGCCUGAUGCAGCCAUGCCGCGUGUAUGAAGAAGGCCUUCGGGUUGUAAAGUACUUUCGGCGGAGAGGCGGUACCCGCAGAAGAAGCACCGGCUAACUACGUGCCAGCAGCCGCGGUAAUAC